Saimiri boliviensis boliviensis (Bolivian squirrel monkey) is the source of this 102-nucleotide small nucleolar RNA. RefSeq annotates it as small nucleolar RNA U13. The record is from RefSeq and is a predicted model, not a curated record. NCBI's taxonomy places the organism in Eukaryota, Metazoa, Chordata, Mammalia, Primates, Cebidae.
GACCUUUUAUAGUUCAUGAGUGAUGAUUGGGUGUUCAUGUGCAUGUGUGAGAUGUGCUGCCUUUGAUCUGUGUUACCAUGUGGGCACACUACCGGUCUGACA